CCUACGGGUGGCAGCAGUAGGGAAUAUUGCACAAUGGGCGCAAGCCUGAUGCAGCCAUGCCGCGUGUGUGAAGAAGGCCUUCGGGUUGUAAAGCACUUUCAGCGGGGAGGAAGGCGGUGAGGUUAAUAACCUCAUCGAUUGACGUUACCCGCAGAAGAAGCACCGGCUAACUCCGUGCCAGCAGCCGCGGUAAUACGGAGGGUGCAAGCGUUAAUCGGAAUUACUGGGCGUAAAGCGCACGCAGGCGGUCUGUCAAGUCGGAUGUGAAAUCCCCGGGCUCAACCUGGGAACUGCAUUCGAAACUGGCAGGCUAGAGUCUUGUAGAGGGGGGUAGAAUUCCAGGUGUAGCGGUGAAAUGCGUAGAGAUCUGGAGGAAUACCGGUGGCGAAGGCGGCCCCCUGGACAAAGACUGACGCUCAGGUGCGAAAGCGUGGGGAGCAAACAGGAUUAGAUACCCCAGUAGUC
This 465-nucleotide ribosomal RNA is filed under the name uncultured Klebsiella sp. Its description in RNAcentral is "bacterial SSU rRNA". It matches the Rfam family "Bacterial small subunit ribosomal RNA", at positions 338 to 795 of the family's 1533-position model. Lineage: Bacteria; Pseudomonadati; Pseudomonadota; Gammaproteobacteria; Enterobacterales; Enterobacteriaceae. The record is from RNAcentral.